GAUGAACGCUGGCGGCGUGCCUAAUACAUGCAAGUCGAGCGAACAGACGAGGAGCUUGCUCCUCUGACGUUAGCGGCGGACGGGUGAGUAACACGUGGAUAACCUCCCUAUAAGACUGGGAUAACUUCGGGAAACCGGAGCUAAUACCGGAUAAUAUAUUGAACCGCAUGGUUCAAUAGUGAAAGACGGUUUUGCUGUCACUUAUAGAUGGAUCCGCGCCGCAUUAGCUAGUUGGUAAGGUAACGGCCUACCAAGGCAACGAUGCGUAGCCGACCUGAGAGGGUGAUCGGCCACACUGGAACUGAGACACGGUCCAGACUCCUACGGGAGGCAGCAGUAGGGAAUCUUCCGCAAUGGGCGAAAGCCUGACGGAGCAACGCCGCGUGAGUGAUGAAGGUCUUCGGAUCGUAAAACUCUGUUAUUAGGGAAGAACAAAUGUGUAAGUAACUAUGCACGUCUUGACGGUACCUAAUCAGAAAGCCACGGCUAACUACGUG
This 497-nucleotide ribosomal RNA is filed under the name uncultured bacterium. RNAcentral's name for it is "partial 16S ribosomal RNA". It matches the Rfam family "Bacterial small subunit ribosomal RNA", at positions 28 to 507 of the family's 1533-position model. The record is from RNAcentral.